Molecule: ribosomal RNA, 479 nt
Filed under: uncultured bacterium
Lineage: Bacteria
Description: partial 16S ribosomal RNA
Rfam family: Bacterial small subunit ribosomal RNA
Source: RNAcentral
GAUGAACGCUGGCGGCGUGCUUAACACAUGCAAGUCGAACGAAGCACCUUGAUUCGAUUCUUCGGAUGAAGAUCUUGGUGACUGAGUGGCGGACGGGUGAGUAACGCGUGGGUAACCUGCCUCAUACAGGGGGAUAACAGUUAGAAAUGACUGCUAAUACCGCAUAAGACCACAGCACCGCAUGGUGCAGGGGUAAAAACUCCGGUGGUAUGAGAUGGACCCGCGUCUGAUUAGGUAGUUGGUGGGGUAACGGCCUACCAAGCCGACGAUCAGUAGCCGACCUGAGAGGGUGACCGGCCACAGUGGGACUGAGACACGGCCCAAACUCCUACGGGAGGCAGCAGUGGGGAAUAUUGCAAAAUGGGGGAAACCCUGAUGCAGCGACGCCGCGUGAGCGAUGAAGUAUUUCGGUAUGUAAAGCUCUAUCAGCAGGGAAGAAAAUGACGGUACCUGAAUAAGAAGCACCGGCUAAAUACGUG